UACGGGAGGUAGCAGUGGGGAAUAUUGCACAAUGGGCGAAAGCCUGAUGCAGCUAUGCCGCGUGUAUGAAGAAGGCCUUAGGGUUGUAAAGUACUUUCAUCGGGGAGGAAAAAACAAAACUAAUAAUUUUAUUUCUUGACGUUACCCGAAAAAGAAGCACCGGCUAACUCCGUGCCAGCAGCCGCGGUAAUACGGAGGGUGCUAGCGUUAAUCAGAAUUACUGGGCGUAAAGAGCACGUAGGUGGUUUUUUAAGUCAGAUGUGAAAUCCCUGGGCUUUAACCUAGGAACUGCAUUUUGAAACUGAAAUACUAGAGUAUCGUAGAGGGAGGUAGAAUUCUAGGUGUAGCGGUGAAAUGCGUAGAUAUCUGGAGGAAUACCUGUGGCGAAAGCGGCCUCCUAAACGAAUACUGACACUGAGGGUGCGAAAGCGUGGGGAGCAAACAGGGAUUAGAUACC
Molecule: ribosomal RNA, 457 nt
Filed under: uncultured bacterium
Lineage: Bacteria
Description: bacterial SSU rRNA
Rfam family: Bacterial small subunit ribosomal RNA
Source: RNAcentral